Molecule: ribosomal RNA, 508 nt
Filed under: uncultured bacterium
Lineage: Bacteria
Description: bacterial SSU rRNA
Rfam family: Bacterial small subunit ribosomal RNA
Source: RNAcentral
UACAGGACGAACGCUGGCGGCGUGCCUAACACAUGCAAGUCGAACGGGGUCCAUGGGAGCUUGCUCCCGGAAGACCUAGUGGCGAACGGGUGAGUAACACGUGAGCAACCUGCCCGGACUCGGGGAUAACCAAGGGAAACCUUGGCUAAUACCGGAUGCCCUCACGGAACCGCAUGGUUCUGUGAGGAAAGUUUUUUCGGUCUGGGAGGGGCUCGCGGCCUAUCAGCUUGUUGGUGGGGUAACGGCCCACCAAGGCAGCGACGGGUAGCUGGUUUGAGAGAACGAUCAGCCACACUGGAACUGAGACACGGUCCAGACUCCUACGGGAGGCAGCAGUGGGGAAUCUUGCGCAAUGGGGGAAACCCUGACGCAGCGACGCCCGCGUGAGCGAAGAAGGCCUUCGGGUUGUAAAGCUCUGUUGUAAGGGACGAAUGUCUAGGGUAGUAACUGACCUUAGAAUGACGGUACCUUACCAGCAAGCCCCGGCUAACUACGUGCCAGCCGCCGC